Canis lupus familiaris (dog) is the source of this 1047-nucleotide long non-coding RNA. RefSeq lists it as uncharacterized. NCBI's taxonomy places the organism in Eukaryota, Metazoa, Chordata, Mammalia, Carnivora, Canidae. The transcript has 2 exons. The record is from RefSeq and is a predicted model, not a curated record.
GUGAUCUCCGACCCGUUUCAUAACACUCACUUCCUAGCAAGAGCGUUUGCCGGGGCCGUAAAAUUCACUCGGUUUGGGAGGAAUCGUGUCCCCGCGAUGACGAGCUCGGUUCCUAUACACAGUGUGUUCCCAGGAAGGCCUCUUCCGUGUGAGUAAAGUGGCAAUAUUGUAACAGCCUAAUGCACCAUUUUUCUGGAAUUUGUGGAAACGCAGGAAACGGCCACAGACAGGGAUCGAAGGGUGGACGGCAGCGAGAAGCUGCAGAACCUCAUUUGCGGGAGCCGUCCUGUUCAGCGCCCCUUCCUGGGGCUCCCCUUGGGGACUGCAGGCUGGCGGGGCACAGGGCCUCCACGGGGACGCCCCCCGUGAAACUCGGACCUGGUCUUCUGAACCCUCCUGGAACCAGCAGGCAGCGUUAGCCAAGGGGCUGCGGCUCCCCUCCUCCCCCACCCCUCCUCCACAUCACCCGGGGUCAAGGGCCCCCCACAGGGAGUUUUAUCCUUAACUAAUGAUACUCCCCCAGCAGGGAGACCCUGUUCCGGGGGGACAAAACCCAGGUACGGGCUGGAUGACCCCUGGAGCCUCACCCCGAUUACAGCUACCUAGCCUGAAAUAGUUUGUGUGGCUGUUAGCCUGAAAGAAACGCUAAAUUCUACUCUUCCAUUGCCUCUGCUCCAAAACACACCCAUCAGAUUGUGCCGUUUAUGGGAAAGUGACGUCCAGCUCAGUGACCAUAGUUAACGAGGCUGUGCUGCAUAUCUGAAAGUGGCUAAGAUCUUAAAAGUCCUCGUCCCAAGGAAAAAAAAAGGUCUAUUACGGUGAUUGUUUCACAGUAUAUACAAAUAUCAGAUGGUUAUAUUGUGCACCUGAAGCUACCCUAAGGUUGUAUGUCAACUAAACCUCAAUGUUAAAAUGCUGUUCUUAAAAUGUGCUGUUUUCCUGAAAAUUUUGGUGUAAGUCUGAAUUUCGUACAAGUAACAAAAUUUUUGACGGCAUAAUUUACUAUGCCAAUUGGAAAAUCAGAAUAAAAAAGGGCCUUAAACUCAA